Molecule: ribosomal RNA, 1000 nt
Filed under: Pseudomonas aeruginosa
Lineage: Bacteria; Pseudomonadati; Pseudomonadota; Gammaproteobacteria; Pseudomonadales; Pseudomonadaceae
Description: bacterial SSU rRNA
Rfam family: Bacterial small subunit ribosomal RNA
Source: RNAcentral
CAAGGUCGAGCGGCUGCACGGGACUUUGCUCCGGGGUUCAGUGGCGGACGGGUGAGUAAUGUCUAGGAACCUGCCUGGUAGUGGGGGAUAACUUCCGGAAACGGGCGCUAAUACCGCAUACGUCCUACGGGGGAAAGUGGGGGAUCUUCGAACCUCACGCUAUCAGAUGAGCCUAUGUCGGAUUAGCUGUUGGUGGGGAAAGGCUCACCAAGGCGACGAUCCGUAACUGGUUUGAGAGGAUGAUCAGCCACACUGGGACUGAGACACGGUCCAGACUCCUACGGGAGGCAGCAGUGGGGAAUUUUGGACAAUGGGGGAAACCCUGAUCCAGCCAUGCCGCGUGUGUGAUGAAGGUCUUCGGAUUGUAAAGCACUUUUGGUUGGAAGGAAGGGCCGUAAGUUAAUACCUUGCUGUUUUGACGUUACCUGCAGAAUAAGCACCGGCUAACUUCGUGCCAGCAGCCGCGGUAAUACGAAGGGUGCAAGCGUUAAUCGGAAUUACUGGGCGUAAAGCGUGCGUAGGUGGUUCAGAAAGUUGGAUGUGAAAUCCCCGAGCUCAACCUGGGAACUGCAUUUUUAACUACUGAGCUAGAGUGUGUCAGAGGGUGGUGGAAUUUCCUGUGUAGCGGUGAAAUGCGUAGAUAUGCGGAGGAACACCAAUGGCGAAAGCGACCUCCUGGGACUGAUACUGACACUGAUGCUGCGAAAGCGUGGGGAGCAAACAGGAUUAGAUACCCUGGUAGUCCACGCCGUAAACGAUGUCAACUAGCUCGUUGGGAUCCUUUGAGCCUCUGAUUGCGCGCACUCUACACGCUGAUAAUUCAACCCCCGGGGGAGAUAUACGUCCCGCAGAGUUAAACUCUACAAAGUAAAUGUACACGGGAGCCGCGACAACACGCGUGUGAAGACAUGUGGUUAUAUUUCAUACACACCGCAAAAAACCUUCCUCUCGCCCUUACAUGUGCUGAAAGCUUACAAGAUUUGAUUGUGUCCUUCGGACU